This 253-nucleotide ribosomal RNA is filed under the name uncultured bacterium. Its description in RNAcentral is "partial 16S ribosomal RNA". It matches the Rfam family "Bacterial small subunit ribosomal RNA", at positions 524 to 776 of the family's 1533-position model. The record is from RNAcentral.
UACGGGGGGGGCAAGCGUUGUUCGGAAUUACUGGGCGUAAAGGGCUCGUAGGCGGCCAGCUAAGUCAGACGUGAAAUCCCUCGGCUCAACCGGGGAACUGCGUCUGAUACUGGAUGGCUUGAGUUCGGGAGAGGGAUGCGGAAUUCCAGGUGUGGCGGUGAAAUGCGUAGAUAUCUGGAGGAACACCGGUGGCGAAGGCGGCAUCCUGGACCGAUACUGACGCUGAGGAGCGAAAGCCAGGGGAGCAAACGGG